UGUAAAUCCAUCUAUGUCUUAGACUUUAUGCACACACUGUAUACAGAUUGUCCCAGCAUGCUUCAACAUGAGACAGCUUGUGUGUCAUUCCUGUCACAGGCAGACAGAUGAUCACAUUUGUUGUUCCUUUAGCUUUCUACAUGUUUACCUGUCCGUAUGUGGAAACUGCCAUUAGUUUAUGAAAACAUGCAAAAUAACAGUAAAAAAAGCAUGUGAUAAUUCAAUUUCCUAAACAAACAUGUCUUAGUUCCAGUUAGUAUACUCUUAGCAUUACUCUUUCCAAGACAUUUUUAAAUGUUCUAACUGUUCUUACUGCUUAAUGCUUUUAGUUGAAACGUCUAAUGGUGUAAUAGGAACGAAUGUUUGGACACUAUGUUUUUAGCAAAUGUCUUUAUCCCACAUAAAAAUAUAG
This is a non-coding RNA of Pelobates cultripes (western spadefoot toad), 412 nucleotides long. The record is from the annotation of a GenBank genome assembly. Lineage: Eukaryota; Metazoa; Chordata; Amphibia; Anura; Pelobatidae.